RNAcentral lists this ribosomal RNA (254 nucleotides) under uncultured bacterium. RNAcentral's name for it is "partial 16S ribosomal RNA". It matches the Rfam family "Bacterial small subunit ribosomal RNA", at positions 524 to 776 of the family's 1533-position model. The record is from RNAcentral.
UACGUAGGGUGCGAGCGUUUGUCCGGAUUUAUUGGGCGUAAAGAGCUUGUAGGCGGCUCGUCACGUCGGGUGUGAAAACUCGCGGCUCAACCGCGAGCCUGCACCCGAUACGGGCGGGCUGGAGUUCGGCAGGGGAGACUGGAAUUCCUGGUGUAGCGGUGGAAUGCGCAGAUAUCAGGAGGAACACCGGUGGCGAAGGCGGGUCUCUGGGCCGAUACUGACGCUGAGAAGCGAAAGCGUGGGGAGCGAACAGG